AUCAAAUGCAGCUGUAGGUGUCACUGUGAAAUGUGGGCUGUUCUAGUGAUAAUGUAGUGGUGGGAGUGCAUAUACCAAAAAGUGCUUUUAUGUUUUCAUUUUUAACUAUGAAGUUGUUGCUGACUAUUCUGCGUCUCCCUCAUUUUUCUUCAAGUCUCAGGUCUUCUGCUUGUUUGCUUUUACCCAUACUGAAAGUUGUGCCCUGAAGCUGUCAGAAGUCAACAAAAUAUCUGUGAUGUGUCUUUCCCUCUCGGCUGUACAGGGAUGCUGCAAUCCCAUAACAAUAUGGAGAUGGAGAGUCUUCAGAAGAACAGAAAUGUGCUGGUGACAGACACUCAUCAAAGCCACUGAAGAUUUUAAUCAAGGCCUCCUUCCCUGGCUGAAGGCUAAAUAGUCCUUCUGUGACUUUUUGGGGAGGAAGACUUCAGUGCCCCUCCUGAAGAGCCUACACUUCCCAAAGAUCAUGAUACUGCUCAAAGCAAUAGCCCAUUGCUUCUCCAGCACUCUUGUACCACCUGCUCUGCCCAGCCUCGCUGGCUCCCAGUCCUUCCACCCCACAGGACACCAGCAAUGGCACGGGACAGCAGACUUUGUCUCAAGGGAUCUUCACCAGCCAGGAGCACCGGGGAGGCGCUGAGAAGGAUACCACAGUAAAUCCAGACAAAAGGCACUUGUUCAUCAAGUGAGAUAAUCAGAAACACAAGAAACAACGAGUGGUUCCCAUGGGAAGCACAACCACACCCUGCAAGGAUGGAGCAGCAGCCAAGCAGCGCAGCGGGAGCUCACCAUUGCAUGCCAUAGGCUUAGCCCUUGCAGGGCUUUUGAGCACCCUCUUUGAAGAUUUUGCCUUUUUUUUUUUUUUCCUCAGACUUCCUCCCCCACAAGGGCAAAAUAAAUUGUCAAGAGUUACAACAAAUAAUGAGAGAGAGAAAGUGUCACGUUAGCCCAAGCAGGACAGAAGUAGCAUGCUGUAAAAUACACACAUGUGCCUCAGCAGAAACUGCAAUGCCACAGCCCACAGUCAGGCUUUUUGUCAGCAGUCCCGGAGUGUAAGAGCUGUGUUGAGACGUGUUUCUAACAGACAUCCAUGACUCUAGCUUCCGCUGAUGUCCCAUGAAUGUUUUUCAGACUGACUCUUCAUGACCUUAUCUGGGGUCAAGGUUUUGGCAAGGUACCGGCGGUGAUUUUUUCUACUUUUUAGAUCUGCCUGUGUGAGACACUUUUAUCUCUUGUGAUUAAGGAAUUCUGAUGUGUUUUUUAAACUGAGGUUCUUUCUUCCUUUGUGCUUUUUAAAUGCCAGUUAAUCAGCACGGAAGAAUCUGCACAGCUGCACGCUGCUCCAUGGCUGGGAGUGUGACAUGAUCGAUGUCAGGUCGAAGAGACCCUUUCCAUGACCUCAAAAUCGCAAUCCAUAGCUGAAAUGGGGUGGGAGGCACUGGGCUCUCCAGGCUUCCAUGGGAUGGCUGCGCCAAAACCCGUCUGCAGGGUGGCUGGGCGCAGCCUGGCAGCCUUGGCUUUGCUGCCUGGGCAGAUGAGCAGCUCAUGCAGGACAUGCAGAAACUGUUCACAGCAACAGGCUGGGGUCCACGGCACUGCAAACCCAAUGUGACCACUCCUUCUCACUCUUACUGGUCUCUUGAGCUGGCAAGCUCUCUAGCACUCCUGCUUUAGGAUUGUGAAAAAAAAAAUCUCCCUGUCUUUCAGGACACCAAUGUGUAUUUUGGGUUUCUGGGGGACAUCCUCAGCAUAUUUUUCAUGUGUUCCUCAGUACCUUGCACCAACCAAACAGCCUAUUGCUGAGCGUCUCUUCUCCCCACUCUAUUUACCUUCCUAACUCUCCAGCAGCUUUCAUCUUCUAAGCACGCCCAAAAUAUAUUCGUAUAACCCCUCCUGUACUGUCCCUGUCUGCUAUUGCCCUGCAACAAGACUGACAAUUUUCUACAGAGCUGAGUUAGAGUCAACUGUAUCUAAAAGGCAAAAGUAAAUGGUAAUUAGAAACACCCUGCUGAAUAAAAAGAAUGUUAAAGCAUUAGGAUAAUUAAUGAAAUUUAAUCUUUUAUUUAUUCACCACUUUGCAUCCCUAAGGAUCUAUUGACACUGAGUUUCAGUUCAAGCCCUGUGAAGACUUUCUAAACAUCGUAGUGCCUUUUACAAUGAGCACUGUUACUAGAUAUUAUUGAAUUAUUUUUGGCAGCAAGCACCACACCCUCUGACAGAAAUAGCCCCUUCUCUGGCUGCUGCUGCUGUUACAUUUCGAAACACGUUCUCAUUUGGCAAAAUAUUCAAACCACUGGAACAGUCUGGCUUUUUCAUGGAAAGCUGGAACCGGGCGUUGGUACCACUCCUCUUUGAAAUGCAAAUAUAAACCUAUGCAGCAACUAAAGGCAGAACAACAGCCUGGAUUGAAAAGGAUUAAACCGUGCUUUG
Molecule: long non-coding RNA, 2427 nt
Organism: Athene cunicularia (burrowing owl)
Lineage: Eukaryota; Metazoa; Chordata; Aves; Strigiformes; Strigidae
Exons: 3
Source: RefSeq, a predicted model, not a curated record